AGAUUGAACGCUGGCGGCAGGCCUAACACAUGCAAGUCGAGCGGUAGAGAGGUGCUUGCAUCUCUUGAGAGCGGCGGACGGGUGAGUAAUGCCUAGGAAUCUGCCUAGUGGUGGGGGAUAACGUUCGGAAACGGACGCUAAUACCGCAUACGUCCUACGGGAGAAAGCGGGGGACCUUCGGGCCUCGCGCCAUUAGAUGAGCCUAGGUCGGAUUAGCUAGUUGGUGAGGUAAUGGCUCACCAAGGCGACGAUCCGUAACUGGUCUGAGAGGAUGAUCAGUCACACUGGAACUGAGACACGGUCCAGACUCCUACGGGAGCAGCAGGUGGGAAUUUGGACAAUGGGGGAAACCCUGA
RNAcentral lists this ribosomal RNA (356 nucleotides) under uncultured soil bacterium. RNAcentral describes it as "bacterial SSU rRNA". It matches the Rfam family "Bacterial small subunit ribosomal RNA", at positions 26 to 386 of the family's 1533-position model. The record is from RNAcentral.